GCGGUUUCUUAAGUCUGAUGUGAAAGCCCCCGGCUCAACCGGGGAGGGUCAUUGGAAACUGGGGAACUUGAGUGCAGAAGAGGAGAGUGGAAUUCCACGUGUAGCGGUGAAAUGCGUAUAGAUGUGGAGGAACACCAGUGGCGAAGGCGACUCUCUGGUCUGUAACUGACGCUGAGGAGCGAAAGCGUGGGGAGCGAACAGGAUUAGAUACCCUGGUAGUCCACGCCGUAAACGAUGAGUGCUAAGUGUUAGGGGGUUUCCGCCCCUUAGUGCUGCAGCUAACGCAUUAAGCACUCCGCCUGGGGAGUACGGUCGCAAGACUGAAACUCAAAGGAAUUGACGGGGGCCCGCACAAGCGGUGGAGCAUGUGGUUUAAUUCGAAGCAACGCGAAGAACCUUACCAGGUCUUGACAUCCUCUGACAAUCCUAGAGAUAGGACGUCCCCUUCGGGGGCAGAGUGACAGGUGGUGCAUGGUUGUCGUCAGCUCGUGUCGUGAGAUGUUGGGUUAAGUCCCGCAACGAGCGCAACCCUUGAUCUUAGUUGCCAGCAUUCAGUUGGGCACUCUAAGGUGACUGCCGGUGACAAACCGGAGGAAGGUGGGGAUGACGUCAAAUCAUCAUGCCCCCUUAUGACCUGGGCUACACACGUGCUACAAUGGACAGAACAAAGGGCAGCGAAACCGCGAGGGUUAAGCCAAUCCCACAAAUCUGUUCUCAGUUCGGAUCGCAGUCUGCAACUCGACUGCGUGAAGCUGGAAUCGCUAGUAAAUCGCGGAUCACCAUGCCGCGGUGAAUACGUUCCCCGGGGCCUUGUACACACCGCCCGUCAACACACGAGAGUUUG
Molecule: ribosomal RNA, 844 nt
Filed under: Bacillus subtilis
Lineage: Bacteria; Bacillati; Bacillota; Bacilli; Caryophanales; Bacillaceae
Description: bacterial SSU rRNA
Rfam family: Bacterial small subunit ribosomal RNA
Source: RNAcentral